UACAGUCUAUAGCAUUCUGUACUUUAGAGAAAUGUUGAUAUGGUUACGUUACAUUUUAAGCACAUUUUGUUAUGAGUUAUGGUUAUGCUAAAAUAAUAUUAAUUUUGAAGGUUGUCCUCAUUUUACUAGUCAUGGCAUCUGAUCACCUUUUUCUUCAUCGUUCUUCUUAUGUGUCCUUUGGUUUGAAUGCAGGAUAUGCCUAGCUACUGAUGGUAGCUGGUUUCAAUAAGACCAAAGGCAGUGAUUUCUUAAUCAGGCUUUGGCCCUACAGAGGGACCACACCUGCUAAAGCACAGCACAAUGCUUUUGGCAGGUGUUCUCCUCCGAUAGGUCCUACACCACCACAGCGCUCCUCAGCAGAGAGCACAGGAGAUGGGCUCCUACAGCACUGCUCCGACUCCUCAACUAUUUGGUACUGGCAGCCCUUGCAGUUUCCUUCCUUCUGCUGCAGUUGUUGUUCAGGAAAAUUGAUCUUUCUGCACUAGGAAGAAGCGUGUCUGCAGGAGAGGACUUUCUCAGGGACUUGUUUCAAGGGUAAGGCAUUAGUUUGCCAGGAGUUAAGGACAAUUGCAAAUCUUGUGCUGCCUCAAGUUCAGCAUGCAUUUCUUUGGUCCCCAUAGUAAUGGGGGAAUUUCACAAUGUGCACGAGCAUUAAACAAUAAACAAUGAAUUUUUUAGAGAGUAAGCA
This 688-nucleotide long non-coding RNA is filed under the name Anser brachyrhynchus (Pink-footed goose). RNAcentral's name for it is "lncRNA (ENSABRG00000000981.1)". The record is from RNAcentral. Lineage: Eukaryota; Metazoa; Chordata; Aves; Anseriformes; Anatidae.